This 229-nucleotide ribosomal RNA is filed under the name uncultured bacterium. Its description in RNAcentral is "partial 16S ribosomal RNA". It matches the Rfam family "Bacterial small subunit ribosomal RNA", at positions 568 to 796 of the family's 1533-position model. The record is from RNAcentral.
CGUGUAGGCGGCCGUGCAAGUCAGACGUGAAAUCCCGCAGCUCAACUGCGGAACUGCGUUUGAAACUGCAUGGCUUGAGUACGGGAGAGGAGAGCGGAAUUUCCAGUGUAGCGGUGAAAUGCUCAAAUAUUGGAAGGAACACCGGUGGCGAAGGCGGCUCUCUGGCCUGAUACUGACGCUGAGGCGCGAAAGCUAGGGGAGCGAACAGGAUUAGAUACCCUGGUAGUCC